RNAcentral lists this ribosomal RNA (253 nucleotides) under uncultured bacterium. Its description in RNAcentral is "partial 16S ribosomal RNA". It matches the Rfam family "Bacterial small subunit ribosomal RNA", at positions 524 to 776 of the family's 1533-position model. The record is from RNAcentral.
UACGUAGGGGGCAAGCGUUGUCCGGAAUCAUUGGGCGUAAAGAGCUCGUAGGCGGUUCGUCACGUCAGCUGUGAAAUCCCGAGGCUCAACCUCGGGUCUGCAGUCGAUACGGGCGGACUUGAGUACUGCAGGGGAGACUGGAAUUCCUGGUGUAGCGGUGAAAUGCGCAGAUAUCAGGAGGAACACCGGUGGCGAAGGCGGGUCUCUGGGCAGUAACUGACGCUGAGGAGCGAAAGCGUGGGGAGCGAACAGG